CACUAUCGAAGGAAUUAGCCUUAAUUCAUGGUG
RNAcentral lists this non-coding RNA (33 nucleotides) under unclassified sequences. RNAcentral describes it as "S4-Flavobacteria ribosomal protein leader". It matches the Rfam family "S4-Flavobacteria ribosomal protein leader". The record is from RNAcentral.